RNAcentral lists this ribosomal RNA (251 nucleotides) under uncultured bacterium. Its description in RNAcentral is "partial 16S ribosomal RNA". It matches the Rfam family "Bacterial small subunit ribosomal RNA", at positions 57 to 305 of the family's 1533-position model. The record is from RNAcentral.
GCAAGUCGAGCGGAAACACAGUGAGCUUGCUCCUGAGGUGUCGAGCGGCGGACGGGUGUGUAAUGCUUGGGAAACUGCCCAGUCGUGGGGGACAACCAUAAGAAACGAUGGCUAAUACCGCAUACGCACUACGGGGGAAAGAAGGGGACCUUCGGGCCUUUCGCGAUUGGAUGUGCCCAAGUGGGAUUAGCUAGUUGGUGAGGUAAGAGCUCACCAAGGCGACGAUCCCUAGCUGGUUUGAGAGGAUGAUC